UGCCAGCAGCCGCGGUAAUACGGGGGGCGUAAGCGUUAUUCGGAAUUAUUGGGCGUAAAGGGCGCGUAGGCGGUCUUGUCCGUCAGGUGUGAAAGCUCGGGGUUUAACCCCGGAAGUGCACUUGAAACAGUAAGACUUGAAUACGGUAGAGGAGAGAGGAAUUUCUGGUGUAGAGGUGAAAUUCGUAGAUAUUAGGAGGAACACCGAUGGCGAAGGCAUCUCUCUGGGCCGAUAUUGACGCUGAGGCGCGAAGGCGUGGGUAGCGAACGGGAUUAGAUA
RNAcentral lists this ribosomal RNA (279 nucleotides) under uncultured bacterium. RNAcentral's name for it is "partial 16S ribosomal RNA". It matches the Rfam family "Bacterial small subunit ribosomal RNA", at positions 506 to 784 of the family's 1533-position model. The record is from RNAcentral.